RNAcentral lists this microRNA (22 nucleotides) under Taeniopygia guttata (zebra finch). RNAcentral's name for it is "Tgu-Mir-34-P3a_3p* (star (passenger))". The record is from RNAcentral. Lineage: Eukaryota; Metazoa; Chordata; Aves; Passeriformes; Estrildidae.
CAGCUGCUAUCUGCACUCCAUA